UACGGAGGGUGCAAGCGUUGUCCGGAAUCACUGGGCGUAAAGGGCGCGUAGGCGGCUCAUGAAGGCUGUGGUGAAAGUCCGGGGCUCAACCUCGGAUCGGCCGUGGCGACUCGUGGGCUGGAGCACUGUAGAGGCGGGUGGAAUUCCGGGUGUAGCGGUGGAAUGCGUAGAGAUCCGGAAGAACACCAGUGGCGAAGGCGCCCGCUGGGCAGUGGCUGACGCUGAGGCGCGACAGCGGUGGGGAGCAAACGAGGAUU
RNAcentral lists this ribosomal RNA (257 nucleotides) under uncultured bacterium. Its description in RNAcentral is "partial 16S ribosomal RNA". It matches the Rfam family "Bacterial small subunit ribosomal RNA", at positions 524 to 779 of the family's 1533-position model. The record is from RNAcentral.